Molecule: long non-coding RNA, 3462 nt
Filed under: Salvia miltiorrhiza (redroot sage)
Lineage: Eukaryota; Viridiplantae; Streptophyta; Magnoliopsida; Lamiales; Lamiaceae
Description: long non-coding RNA (SMIL_LNC001753)
Source: RNAcentral
CCAGUAUUUUAUUACAGUUACAGAAUCACCGAGACAUAGAAUAUACAGAAUCAAUCAAGAAGACAACCAAAUCAAUUAGCAAAAGCAAAAGUUUUUCCAAUCAAUUAAAGUUUACACGCCUUUGCUCCACCAAACUUCCCACCUACUUCAUCAGCUACCCACCACCCUUUGCUCCCCACCAUAUUCGAUUCUUUAAGGCUAUUAUCAGCCCUUUUACUCAUUCCUUAGUUCUUCAACAACCAAAGGAAUGAGAGAUUUCAUUUACUGCUGCCAAACUUCGAACAUGUAAGCUUUGGUUUAAGUUUUUCCACCAGUCCAUUCUUGAUUCCCCUGCAUAUGUCAAUAAGCAUCUGAAAAUUUCAGCUAUCUCCUCAUUAAAUUCAAUGGCAACAAACAGCCACCAACAACAAGCAAUUACAGGUAUAUACUAAGCUCCCUUCAUUCGAAUCCCAUUUGCAUUUCAUCCAACAAGCAUGAUUAAGAAGAAAUAUUGAAUGUAUAGAUGAGUAUAGGUUAUGGACUUAGCAAAGUCACAAGCACAGAAAUCAAUUCAUAUGUAAUUCAAUUUCUUCACAUGAGUCAGACGAUGAGAAUUCUUAUGACAUUAGCAAACCACAGUUCCUAGUUUAAUCUCUAACUUUAUCAAAAUAGGAACACAGAACAGACCCCUUUAACUUCAAACCACACACCAUUGUUUAUAUAAAGACUUAUACAAAGAAGAAGAGGAAGAUAGAACAAAGACUUAGCUUUUAGAAGGGCGGUUGCUCCGUUCGGUCGAAGCUGAGCCGACGAUGGCAACGGCAAAUACUUGCUGCUCCAUCGAACUCCGACAACAGCAGCGGAUCGGCGGGCCUUCACCUGCCGCCGGGAGGAACAGCAACAAUGGUCCAAAGGCAGCAGCGGCGCGGUGAGAGGCGUAGGCCUUCUUACUCCAGUCGCCGGAAAGGAGAGAAUCGCUGGAGGCAGCAAGCUUCUCCCCGCCACUCGCAGAUUGGAGGAAAAACGACGGAAGAGCUCCGCUGAACCGGAACUAGGCGCAGGGACAGCCGACGCCGGCAAGAUCAGAUCUGGCAGAGAAGAGAGAGAGCGGCCGGCACCGCCCGAUUCCACGGCCUGAACAGCGAGACGAACAGCGCUGCUUCCAGGAGGCGACCGCUCGCCGGAUUCCAGACGGAGGUGCGACAGCGGCGAUGAUUUCCAGAAUCAGGGCUCGAUGAUGGGCGUCUGGGAUGCCGGGGUUUCAUGAGUCGCCGGUCGAAGCUGACCGGAGCAGUGAUGGCUGAACGGCUGAGGAAGAAGAAGCCGGCCGAUUUUUGGGAGGGCCGAUCGAACGCUGAGUUUGAAAAGGGGCGAGCAGCUCCUUGAGAGAGAGAAAAGAGAGAGAAAGGCGUGAAUUGUUUUGAGAAAGAGAGAGAGUCCGAUAGUUUGUGAGAGAAAGAGAGAGAGUUGGGCUUUAAAAUUUUAAUUGUUUGGGCUUUCCUCUACUUUUAUGUGGGCCGAAUUUUGAGCUUGUUUUUUUAAAUUGGGCUUCCAAUUUUAAUUGUUUUGGGCCUCACCUUUUAAUUAUUUUGGGCCAAAGACUUUUAAGUUCGGGCUUGAUUUUAAUUGCUUGGGCUUUCACAGUUAAAUUCGAAUUGGGCCAGUCUUUUAUUUAAUUGGCCAUUCUCAUUAAUUCUAUUGGGCUCGAUUUAAUUAAGGAGUUGGGCUGAUGCAUAUUUUAUGAUGGGCUAUUAUUCUAGUCCCAUUUAUAUUUCGUUGGGCCAGUUUAAUUCAUCAUUUUGGCCGAUUAAAUUGCCUUAUUGGACUAAGAUUAAUUCUUUUCAGUCCACAUUAAUUAUUAUUUGGACCCCUAUUUUAAUUGUUUUGGGUCGAAGACUUUUUAAGUUGGGCUUUAAUUCUUUUAAAGCUUGAGUUGAAGUUACUCCUUUGAGCUAAGCCUAGCAGUAUCAAUUUUUGAUGGAGCCCAAUUAUUUAUCAGUAAGUGGGCCGAUUCUUAUUCAGUAAAUGAGCCGCCCAGUUUAUUAAUUAUUGUUUUUGGACUUCAGACUUUAAAGCGAGCUAUCAUUGUUUAUUUCUUUAAAGCCACUGGUUUAUUUAAUUAAUUGGCUACUCUCUUUUGAGCCUAUUAAUUAUUUGAGGUUACGCUAGUAAUGAUGUUUCUAUCGAAAAGCCCGAUAAUUUCUACAAGGUCACACCUCGUUUAAAGCCGAGUUAGUUCUUUUUUUUCAAUCAAGUACAAAGGCGAGGUUUAUUUCACAACUAGAAUAUUACGAUGAGGAAGGAAGAAUCACAGCUUUAUUCGACCGCGUUAUACGAGAAUUAGUUAAAUCUAUUAACGAGGAUUAAUAGUAGAAUUCCCGAUUAUCGCUCAGAAGAUUAGUUCAUGCAUACAAGAUUCAUGCAUAGUUACAAUUAUGUUUUCUCAUUAAUUAAGAAUUUUCCUCGAGGCAAUGUCUUAUUUAUAUUCUCGUGAUUAAGGUCAAGCGCGAGAGUAAGAACUACACAAGGAGUUAGAGUACCUUAGCAAAACUUUGCUAUCAGGUGGGCAAUUUCUUACGCGUAAAUAAAAUGCUAUACCAGUGUUAUGCUUUAAAAUGCAAAUUGGAUCUUCAAGUGUGGUAUGCUUUAUUACACUUACAUGAGUUAAGCUUUAUUAUGCUACACGUUAAAUGAAUUACGCUAUGUUGUUUAUACUAUUUACGUCCUAUGUAAUUUACGCUUGAUUACGCUUAUUUACGCUUGAAUGCUUUACGCUGAUAAGUUUAUGCCUGUGAUUGAUGCUUGCGUCUGUUGGGGGAGGCCUCCCUCAAUAGUACGAUGCCGUGUCCGCUGAGGAGGGCCUUCCUCACGGCGCGAUGCCCGUGUCCGCUGAGAGAGGCCUCUCUCGCGGCGCGAUGCCAGUAUGCCAGUGUUACAGCGUCUAUUGGGGGAGGCCUCCCUCAAUAGUACGAUGCCGUGACCGCUGAGGGAGGCCCCCUCUCACGGUGCGAUGCCCGUGUUCGUUGGGGAAGGCCUUCUCCACGACACGAUGCUUGUUUAUGAUUGUUAAUGAUGAAGAAUGCGCUCAUGCUGUUUAUGAAUUUGGAAAUGUUUAAUGAGCAAAGGAUUUGAAAGAAACUUAUGCCUCUUAUGCGAAGUUGUGUUUUGUUGUUGAUAUUAUGUUAUAUGCUUGGCACUGCCCACUGAGUACUCUUGUACUCAGCCCUUCGUAUGUUUAUGUUUGUGCAGGUUGAGCUGUGAUGGGCGAUGAAGUGUUGCUGAGUGGAGUUUUUGUCGAACUUAAAGUAGGCUCAGAAAGGAUACAUGUCUUCAUACAUGUAUCUCAGUUAUGCAUUCCGCUGUAAACACUGAUUAUUUCAGUUACGCCUUCCGUUGCAAACUCUGAUAAUGUUUUAGCCAAGCCCUAACGAUGCCUUUUUCCUUUUAAGGAAUAUAACGCGUAUACAAGUUCUUUGAGUACCC